UACGUAGGGGGCAAGCGUUGUCCGGAUUUAUUGGGCGUAAAGAGCGUGUAGGCGGCUAGGUAGGUCCGUUGUGAAAACUCGAGGCUCAACCUCGAGACGUCGAUGGAAACCAUCUAGCUAGAGUCCGGAAGAGGAGAGUGGAAUUCCUGGUGUAGCGGUGAAAUGCGCAGAUAUCAGGAAGAACACCAAUGGCGAAAGCAGCUCUCUGGGACGGUACUGACGCUGAGACGCGAAAGCGUGGGGAGCGAACAGG
RNAcentral lists this ribosomal RNA (253 nucleotides) under uncultured bacterium. Its description in RNAcentral is "partial 16S ribosomal RNA". It matches the Rfam family "Bacterial small subunit ribosomal RNA", at positions 524 to 776 of the family's 1533-position model. The record is from RNAcentral.